Molecule: small RNA, 28 nt
Filed under: Arabidopsis thaliana (thale cress)
Lineage: Eukaryota; Viridiplantae; Streptophyta; Magnoliopsida; Brassicales; Brassicaceae
Description: ATSL122350
Source: RNAcentral
UUCUCUUCUUCUUUUUUUUUCCCGCUUG